GGCAAUGUGGCCGAGUGGUCUAAGGCGCUGGAAUUAGGCGAGGUUAUACCUUCCAUAGUUAUAUCCAGUCCGAAAGGGCGCGAGUUCGAACCUCGCCGUUGUCA
Non-coding RNA from Pholiota molesta, 104 nucleotides. Lineage: Eukaryota; Fungi; Basidiomycota; Agaricomycetes; Agaricales; Strophariaceae. The record is from the annotation of a GenBank genome assembly.